This 425-nucleotide ribosomal RNA is filed under the name uncultured bacterium. Its description in RNAcentral is "bacterial SSU rRNA". It matches the Rfam family "Bacterial small subunit ribosomal RNA", at positions 355 to 775 of the family's 1533-position model. The record is from RNAcentral.
UCGGGAAUUUUGGGCAAUGGGCGCAAGCCUGACCCAGCAACGCCGCGUGAAGGAUGGAAUUUUUCGGAAUGUAAACUUCGCAAGAACGGGAAGAAUAAGUAGGGGAUAAUACCCCCUAUGAUGACGGUACCGUUUGUAAGCUCCGGCUAACUCCGUGCCAGCAGCCGCGGUAAUACGGGGGGAGCAAGCGUUGUUCGGAUUUACUGGGCGUAAAGGGCGCGUAGGCGGCGUGACAAGUCACUUGUGAAAUCUCCGGGCUUAACUCGGAACGGUCAAGUGAUACUGUCGUGCUAGAGUACAGAAGGGGCAACUGGAAUUCUCGGUGUAGCGGUGAAAUGCGUAGAUAUCGAGAGGAACACCUGCGGCGAAGGCGGGUUGCUGGGCUGAUACUGACGCUGAGGCGCGAAAGCUAGGGGAGCGAACGG